CAACGAAUAUUCCGCAAUGGACGAAAGUCUGACGGAGCGACGCCGCGUGCAGGAUGAAGUCCUUCGGGAUGUAAACUGCUGUCAGGGGUGAGGAAUAAGUUGACCAACCCCAGAGGAAGCAUCGGCUAACUCCGUGCCAGCAGCCGCGGUAAUACGGAGGAUGCAAGCGUUGUUCGGAAUUACUGGGCGUAAAGCGCACGCAGGCGGUCCUUUAAGUCCACUGUUAAAUCCCGGGGCUCAACCCCGGAGAUGCAGUGGAUACUGAGGGACUGGAGACCGGUAGAGGCUAGCGGAAUUCCUGGUGUAGCGGUGAAAUGCGUAGAUAUCAGGAGGAACACCGGUGGCGAAGGCGGCUAUCUGGACAGAGUCUGACGCUGAGGCGCGAAAGCUAGGGGAGCAAACAGGAUUAGAUACCCGAGUAGUCCCUGAGCGGGCUGGCAAGGCGCAU
RNAcentral lists this ribosomal RNA (448 nucleotides) under uncultured bacterium. RNAcentral describes it as "bacterial SSU rRNA". It matches the Rfam family "Bacterial small subunit ribosomal RNA", at positions 355 to 825 of the family's 1533-position model. The record is from RNAcentral.